CCUACGGGGGGCAGCAGUGGGGGAUAUUGCACAAUGGGGGAAACCCUGAUGCAGCGAUGCCGCGUGAAUGAAGACUGCCUUCGGGUUGUAAAGUUCUUUCGCAAGGGACGAAAAUGACGGUACCCUUCAAGAAAUCUCCGGCUAACUACGUGCCAGCAGCCGCGGUAAUACGUAGGGAGCAAGCGUUGUCCGGAAUUACUGGGUGUAAAGGGAGCGUAGGCGGGAGGAUAAGUUGAAUGUGAGAUCUAGGGGCUCAACCCAUAGCUGCGUUCAAAACUGUUCUGCUUGAGUACAGUCGAGGCAGGCGGAAUUCCUAGUGUAGCGGUGAAAUGCGUAGAUAUUAGGAGGAACACCAGUGGCGAAGGCGGCCUGCUGGGCUUUUACUGACGCUGAGGCUCGAAAGCGUGGGUAGCAAACAGGAUUAGAUACCCUGGUAGUC
RNAcentral lists this ribosomal RNA (439 nucleotides) under uncultured bacterium. RNAcentral describes it as "partial 16S ribosomal RNA". It matches the Rfam family "Bacterial small subunit ribosomal RNA", at positions 338 to 795 of the family's 1533-position model. The record is from RNAcentral.